Molecule: ribosomal RNA, 253 nt
Filed under: uncultured bacterium
Lineage: Bacteria
Description: partial 16S ribosomal RNA
Rfam family: Bacterial small subunit ribosomal RNA
Source: RNAcentral
UACGGAGGGUGCGAGCGUUGUUCGGAAUCACUGGGCGUAAAGCGCGUGUAGGCGGCCUUCUAAGUCCGAUGUGAAAGCCCGGGGCUCACCCCCGGAAGUGCAUUGGAUACUGGGAGGCUGGAGUACCGGAGAGGAGGGUGGAAUUCCUGGUGUAGCGGUGAAAUGCGUAGAUAUCAGGAGGAACACCUGUGGCGAAGGCGGCCCUCUGGACGGAUACUGACGCUGAGACGCGAAAGCGUGGGGAGCAAACAGG